GGUGCUCGAGACCUGCUGGAUCUCGACUUCGAGUCGCUUCGAAAUCGACCGUCCUUCUUUUGUCUUCCCCGGUUAGAGAUGUUUAGUGCACUUCCAGAUGACUCCGUAGCUCCAGAAGAUUUCCUUCUUGCUUCUUCACUCAGAAGCACUCCCACAACGUCAUCAAAGAUCAACUUCCCCGUCGCCGAAGAGUUGCUCACCGCCAUCACCAGGCCCUCCCAGCUAUCAGGCAAUCCGGAGAG
RNAcentral lists this long non-coding RNA (242 nucleotides) under Phoenix dactylifera (date palm). RNAcentral describes it as "long non-coding RNA (PDAC_LNC011851)". The record is from RNAcentral. Lineage: Eukaryota; Viridiplantae; Streptophyta; Magnoliopsida; Arecales; Arecaceae.